UUAGAUACCCUACUAUACUGAUAAUAACCUGAAUUAUUAAUAGGUAUGAUCUUUAAAUUUGAAGAAUUUGGCGGUGGUUUAAUCUUAUUAGAGGAACCUGUUUUUGAAUCGAUACACCACGUGGAAUCUUACUCGUUUUAUUGUAGUCUAUAUACCGUCAUUAUCAGAUAAUUUUAAAAGAAAUAAAUUAUUGAAAUUUAUAAAAUUAAAAGGUAAACAAAAUUAGAUCAAGGUGUAGCUUAUAAAUGAGUUAAAAUGGGUUACAAUAAAAUAUAUUUAAAAUGGAUUAGUCUAAGGAAGUGUUAACUAUGAAGGAGGAUUUAAUUGUAAUAGGAAUUUAAUAAGUUCAAAAGAUAUAAGCUCUAAACCAUGUACAUAUCGCCCGUCGCUA
Molecule: ribosomal RNA, 391 nt
Filed under: Olenothus uogi
Lineage: Eukaryota; Metazoa; Arthropoda; Malacostraca; Decapoda; Xanthidae
Description: partial 12S ribosomal RNA
Source: RNAcentral